Small nucleolar RNA from Perognathus longimembris pacificus (Pacific pocket mouse), 150 nucleotides. RefSeq annotates it as small nucleolar RNA SNORA57. The record is from RefSeq and is a predicted model, not a curated record. The transcript has a single exon. Lineage: Eukaryota; Metazoa; Chordata; Mammalia; Rodentia; Heteromyidae.
CCUCCAUUUCUUGGUGGGUACAGAUGAGUAGGCCUGUCUUCAGUUAAGCAUGGAGACAGAGGAAAGGGCUCAAGCCCUCUUAGUGUCAUGUCUUUGGCAUUGGUGACUUCUCCUUUGUUGCUUCUAUCCUCAAAUGCCACUGGGACACGG